GCAGUGGGGAAUAUUGCACAAUGGGCGCAAGCCUGAUGCAGCCAUGCCGCGUGUAUGAAGAAGGCCUUCGGGUUGUAAAGUACUUUCAGUCGUGAGGGAAGGCAUUAACGUUAAUAGCGUUAGUGUUUGACGUUAGCGACAGAAGAAGCACCGGCUAACUCCGUGCCAGCAGCCGCGGUAAUACGGAGGGUGCGAGCGUUAAUCGGAAUUACUGGGCGUAAAGCGCAUGCAGGUGGUUUGUUAAGUCAGAUGUGAAAGCCCGGGGCUCAACCUCGGAACCGCAUUUGAAACUGGCAGGCUAGAGUACUGUAGAGGGGGGUAGAAUUUCAGGUGUAGCGGUGAAAUGCGUAGAGAUCUGAAGGAAUACCAGUGGCGAAGGCGGCCCCCUGGACAGAUACUGACACUCAGAUGCGAAAGCGUGGGGAGCAAACAGGAUUAGAUACCCUGGUAGUCCACGCCGUAAACGAUGUCUACUUGGAGGUUGUGGCCUUGAGCCGUGGCUUUCGGAGCUAACGCGUUAAGUAGACCGCCUGGGGAGUACGGUCGCAAGAUUAAAACUCAAAUGAAUUGACGGGGGCCCGCACAAGCGGUGGAGCAUGUGGUUUAAUUCGAUGCAACGCGAAGAACCUUACCUACUCUUGACAUCCAGAGAA
This 653-nucleotide ribosomal RNA is filed under the name Vibrio sp. RNAcentral describes it as "bacterial SSU rRNA". It matches the Rfam family "Bacterial small subunit ribosomal RNA", at positions 351 to 995 of the family's 1533-position model. The record is from RNAcentral. Lineage: Bacteria; Pseudomonadati; Pseudomonadota; Gammaproteobacteria; Vibrionales; Vibrionaceae.